UCCCGUUUCGUUUUACAGUAAAGCAGAGCACUCUGGUGGUCAAAUAUUGAUGUAGAGAUGAUGAAGUUACUGAAUGUGUUUGUAAGUUGAACAAAAUUUAAGGGCUAUAUUGUGCAGUAUAAGUUCGACGAAAUGACAAGUUUAUGAUUAUAGACACUUAUUACUUGAAUUAUACUCAACGUUUCUUUUACUGGAAGAGGAGGAGGAGGAUAGAUAAAGUAUAAACCCAACCACAGAUGUGGACUGGAUCAUUUGGUGACCCACCACAUAGUAAAACGACUGGAUGAUCAGAGUAAGAACGUGGAAACAAUAUUUUACCUGUUUUGUUUCAUUUCUCCACUGUUGGACACAAGAAGGUACCAGAAAGUCAGGGAGGAUGUUGGGCACACCACCUCCAGUCUGUCCGGUUCGUUUGUGUGGUGUCACUGGCUAUGAUGGACGCAUUAAUGAUGUUGUCUAUUGCCUAU
Molecule: non-coding RNA, 467 nt
Organism: Zootermopsis nevadensis
Lineage: Eukaryota; Metazoa; Arthropoda; Insecta; Blattodea; Termopsidae
Source: RefSeq, a predicted model, not a curated record